GAUGAACGCUAGCGGCAGGCCUAAUACAUGCAAGCCGAACGGCAAGUCUUAUAGCAAUAUGAGACCUAGAGUGGCGUAAGGGUGCGUAACACGUAUGCAAUCUGCCCGCAACCGGAGGAUAGCUCCCCGAAAGGGGAAUUAAGACUCCAUAAAAUGGAGAGGUGGCAUCACCAUUUCAUUAAAUUACAAGAGGUUGUGGAUGAGCAUGCGCAUGAUUAGUUAGUUGGCGGGGUAAGGGCCCACCAAGACGAUGAUCA
RNAcentral lists this ribosomal RNA (257 nucleotides) under uncultured bacterium. Its description in RNAcentral is "partial 16S ribosomal RNA". It matches the Rfam family "Bacterial small subunit ribosomal RNA", at positions 28 to 282 of the family's 1533-position model. The record is from RNAcentral.